UACAGAGGUGGCAAGCGUUGUUCGGAAUUACUGGGCGUAAAGGGCGCGUAGGCGGCCUUGUCAGUCAGUUGUGAAAUCCCCAGGCUCAACCUGGGAAUGGCGUCUGAUACUACAAGGCUCGAGUGCGGGAGAGGGAUGUGGAAUUCCAGGUGUAGCGGUGAAAUGCGUAGAUAUCUGGAGGAACACCGGUGGCGAAGGCGGCAUCCUGGACCGACACUGACGCUGAGGCGCGAAAGCCAGGGGAGCAAACGGG
This 253-nucleotide unclassified non-coding RNA is filed under the name Vicinamibacteraceae bacterium. RNAcentral's name for it is "partial 16S ribosomal RNA". It matches the Rfam family "Bacterial small subunit ribosomal RNA", at positions 524 to 776 of the family's 1533-position model. The record is from RNAcentral. Lineage: Bacteria; Pseudomonadati; Acidobacteriota; Vicinamibacteria; Vicinamibacterales; Vicinamibacteraceae. RNAcentral also lists the same sequence under 1 other name.